UCCGCUGAAGUCUCUCCACAGAUCGAUCCGCACGCAUACGUACCCUUGCCCAUUCAGCAGCGACGGGGAAGCAGCGAUGUUCUCGAAUGAGCAACUGAUCGGCCCCGACUUCGAUGAGGUAGCGUACCUGCGUUAUGCUCUUCGUGCCGCCAACCACAGUGCCGAACACGCACGGCUGGAGAGCUGCAUCGCUGAGGUGAAGAGGGAUAUACAGUCCGCUCUCGCCGAACAUGCAGACAGUCUCAUCGAUCAAGCGAGAUGCACCUAUAAGACACAGCGCGAGGUGACGGCGGUGCGUCAGAGCACGGAUUCGUUGCAGAAGGCAUCUGGGCGGCUUCGCAUUAUGAUCGAGGAGCCUUACAUGCAGCUCCAAAGCCGUGUAAAAGAGUUGGAGGCAACGCAGGAGGUGAUACAGCUGCUCCAGUCAACGCUGCGCUUCCUCUCUCUGACAGCAAGACUACAGGAACAGCUCGCUACCACUUCCUCCGUUGAUAUCGUGCGCUCCUCGUACACGCUGAAGGAGCUGGAGGAGGUUCUUCAGGAUGGCGCGAUUCGGUCCCUACAGGUGGUCGAGGCGCAGCUGCCGGCGGUGGAGCGGCACGCAACGACGAUACGGAGCAAGGCGCACGAGCUGCUUGCCAUGACGGAGCUAACAGCGCCACCGAGCGGCAACGGCGGCACCGGCAGCGCUGCUGCUGUGACGCCCGCGACUGCUUCGACGUCUCGCCUCGCACUUCAGGUGAGCACAGGGUUGCAGUGCGCGCAUGUAUUGCGCAUGCUCUCUCGCACCGUGCAGAGCUUCAUGACAGAGCGGCGUCGUGAGGUGCUGCGCACCAUCAUGCGGGAGCUUGAUGCACAGGCCAUCGAGGAGCACAUCUCCAGCGAGUACGAUCGUCUUUCCCGCUCUUCGCUCAGCGGACAUAGUGGUGCGAUGUCGGAGCAGACGGUGACGGCACAUGCCGUGCUGCAACACAUCCAGAAGACUCUCUUUAUCGCCGUGCAGCACACCCGAUGCGUCAUUUUGCUGUGGCGCGUGCUGCUUCAGCGACGUGACACGCAGACUCAAGAGCUUUACCUGUUCUCCAUUGACUCACCGGUGCAGCUCCUUGUGGAGUACUGGUCCACGAUCACCGAAAAGCUGCGGGAGCGGCUGAAUAGCUUGCAGAAGCGGCACGCCAUUCGACUUGCCCUGGCGAGUGCUUACCCGCGUUACCACCAUUUGGUUGCCAGCUUCCUCAGUCGCACUGACGUAGCGAGUGUGGCAGAGGGCCCGCUGAGUACCGGCGCGCCAGGUGGCGCUGCCACUGAUUCCUUAGGGUCCGCGGUGACGGGUGCGGCUGGCACAGCCGCGGCUCUGCUCUCGAUCCACGUCACGCAAUGCGGCAUGGGCGACUACCUCGACUUGAUCGACACCGUGGACGCUGCAGUGCGGCGCGGCGUUGCAGGCAAUGGAGGAGAGGGUACUCCCUUCAAGACACCUGACAAGUCACCUUCGGCGCACAUAGGCACUGCGACUCCACCACGUACAGACACGCAGGACAUGCGGCACACGUGGCUGGCACAGGUAACCGACGAGGCACGGGGCGCCUUCAGGACGCAUGUGCUGGACCGUCAUCGCGAGGUCAUUGGCGGUGUCUUCUUACGCCUCUCAGCUGCCGUUCCGCCCUCUGCGGCAGCGGCCGGGCAAACCGCCACUGUUGCGCCGGUGCGCAUGCAGGGCGGUCGCCGGCCGUCUAUUCCCCCUCAGGCCAACACGCUGGACAUGGCGGUCUACACGCGUUUGGUCACGCAGGAGGUGCAGAUGUUCCGCCAGGAUCCGCACACCCUGGAUGUGUUGCUAGACUGCGUCUUUUCCACUCUGCGCCAGGUUCGGGCCAAGCUGACUGAGGCGAUUAAGAGAUACCCGCUUCCGCCGCUUCCGGCGGUGACGGCUGCGCCGACGCUGACGCAGGUGAUGCACCUCUCUAUCGCCAACGGCUGCACCACUCUUGCGUACGACUGCGCAGCUGUCCUCGCGAUGGUUCCUCACCCGUCUGCUUCACAGACGGCUGGCGGCGGCGCUGGGGCGGGGGGUGCCGCGGCCGCCUCCAAUGCCACCAGCGGGGCUCACCGGCACGCUCACCAGGACCCCUACGCGCUGGUGCUGGAGCAGCUGGGCACGAAGCGCAUGGAGCUACAGCAGCUCAUCGAUACAUUCCACAACAUGAGCGAGCGGUCAACGAAGCCGUUUGCGGACUCAGCUGCGUCGGUGCUGCUCCCAACGCUGACGCAGGCUGUCGACAACGUGCUGCGUAACGAGCUGGCACUGUCGUCUGCUGCUGCGGCGACGGCAGCGAGUGAAGGGAGAGCGCAAGCGAAUCCGGCGAUGCCGCUGGGCGGCAGCGGGGGUGGGGACAGCCGCACGGCUCUUGUGCAGCUCCAGUCGCAGUGCCGCCAGUUCACGGAUCGCUUCUUCUUCCUGGUCGACGCGCGCACGUCGGGCUGGAUGGAAGCCUGCCAGCAUGUUACGAACACGAUGCUGGCGCGGCUGUUGAUUCGGCUUGCCACAACGCCGCCACCGGCAACACUGCGCGGUACGCCACUCGCCACCGCACCUGCGUACGCGCAAACGCUGCAGGUGAUGGUGCCCCCGCUGCUUCAGUUCGUGCAAAUGGUCCAGUCUGCCGGGACGGGAGGACGUAUAACCUCCCUCCUGCGCGGCUGCGUGCGCCAAGUGGAGUUGUUUUACGAAACCUGUGGCGGGCUGGGCGGUUCCGGCAGUGGGGACGGCGCAUCGGCCGCGGCAGCGCUCCGGGCUGCGGUGAUGGAGCGGCUUCGACCGCCAAUCCCGCUCUUCUUUGCGAAGUUACUGGUGCUGCAGUACGGCCUCUUUACCACGCCUGCCUCGGCACCGUCGGAGAACUCGCAAGGCGCUGUCGGCCCGUCUGCCCUCGCUGGCGCACUGCAGUUGUCGGAACAGGGCUUGCUGGAGUGCUUGGAAGGGGUGUUGCUUACAGAGAGCUCGGCGAGAGUCGCUGCCACCUCCUCAAAUAUGGAGGGAGGUGGGACUCCGGCUGCUGGCGCCACUGGAGCCGAUCGAAAGGGGGAGGUGCUGUCGGCGUUAGAUGCGCUUUUUCUUGAAGUUGUCGCCGCAGCACCAAGCGAGUCGGCGGCUUGCCUGCAAGAACUAUGGGCGUCGGUUCAAGAGAAAUGAAGUAUUGCUGCUUCAGUGCCGCCCUUUCGUGGGCUUUACCUUAUUCUGUGGGCGCGCGUGUGUGCGAAGUCCCUGCCACACUCGUACGGCGCGUAGAGCUUCUCGUGGCUGCUGUGUGCCUGCCUGAUAGUGUAGAGUUGUGCGCAUGCGUGCGUGUGCUUCUACUGGGCCUCCUUCGUUUCUUUCAAGAAAA
Molecule: unclassified non-coding RNA, 3386 nt
Filed under: Leishmania donovani
Lineage: Eukaryota; Euglenozoa; Kinetoplastea; Trypanosomatida; Trypanosomatidae
Description: gene:LdHU3.32.4260(CDS-product:Golgi_transport_co mplex_subunit_5_putative)
Source: RNAcentral